GAGACAGUUCGGUCCCUAUCUGUCGCGGGCGUAGGAAAUUUGAGAGGAGCUGUCCUUAGUACGAGAGGACCGGGAUGGACGUACCGCUGGUGUACCAGUUGUCUCGCCAGAGGCAUCGCUGGGUAGCUAUGUACGGAGGGGAUAAGCGCUGAAAGCAUCUAAGCGCGAAGCCCCCCUCAAGAUGAGAUUUCCCAAGUCAGUAAGACCCCUUGUAGACGACGAGGUUGAUAGGUUCGAGGUGGAAGUGCAGCAAUGCAUGCAGCUGACGAAUACUAAUCGGUCGAGGGCUUAACCA
This 295-nucleotide ribosomal RNA is filed under the name Paenibacillus sp. yr247. Its description in RNAcentral is "23S rRNA. Bacterial LSU". It matches the Rfam family "Bacterial large subunit ribosomal RNA", at positions 2623 to 2925 of the family's 2925-position model. The record is from RNAcentral. Lineage: Bacteria; Bacillati; Bacillota; Bacilli; Caryophanales; Paenibacillaceae.